Molecule: ribosomal RNA, 491 nt
Filed under: uncultured bacterium
Lineage: Bacteria
Description: bacterial SSU rRNA
Rfam family: Bacterial small subunit ribosomal RNA
Source: RNAcentral
UCAGAGAGUUUGAUUAUGGCUACAGAACGAACGCUGGCGGCGUGGAUUAGGCAUGCAAGUCGAACGAGGUAGCAAUACCGAGUGGCGGAAGGGUGAGGAACACGUGAGUAAUCUGCCCCCAAGUUGGGAAUAACAGUUGGAAACGAUUGCUAAUACCGAAUGUGGCUGUUUUUUCUGCAUGGAAGAACAGUUUAAAGAUUUAUCGCUUGGGGAUGAGCUCGCGUCCCAUUAGUUAGUUGGUGAGGUAACGGCCACCAAGACGAUGAUGGGUAGCUGGUCUGAGAGGAUGGUCAGCCACACUGGGACUGAGACACUGCCCAGACUCCUACGGGAGGCUGCAGUCGAGAAUCUUGGGCAAUGCGCGAAAGCGUGAACCCCCAGCAAUGCCGCGUGUAUGAUGAAGGUCUUCGGAUUGUAAAAUACUGUCUCCCGGGACGAAAGAUGACGGUACCGGGGAAGGAAGCCACGGCUAACUACGUGCCAGCAGCCGC